GUUCACAUGCACUUCUAUUUCCAGAAUCCCAAACACUGCCACCAUGGAGAAAGAAAACUGCACAUCUCCAGGGAGAGAUAUUCAAUAAAAAUAAAUAAAAUACUUUCAAUGCAAAAAUUAUAUUACGGAUUGAACUUUUGUUUGGCUGAAGGAGAAAUUUGCUUUGCCCUAGCUACUGACUUUGAACACAGAAGUACAUUUUAUAAAGGAAUGUAGCCACUACAUGCAAAGCCAACUGCAACUCUUCGGAAAUGCAAACUCCAAAGGACUUAUUUACUACAGGUUUAAGGCAAAUCAAUUCUCUUAUGUUGAGAUGGGAAGAUUAUGGUCAUUUAAUCUUUUCU
Microcebus murinus (gray mouse lemur) is the source of this 344-nucleotide non-coding RNA. The record is from RefSeq and is a predicted model, not a curated record. Lineage: Eukaryota; Metazoa; Chordata; Mammalia; Primates; Cheirogaleidae.